This 893-nucleotide long non-coding RNA is filed under the name Vigna radiata. Its description in RNAcentral is "long non-coding RNA (VRAD_LNC015505)". The record is from RNAcentral. Lineage: Eukaryota; Viridiplantae; Streptophyta; Magnoliopsida; Fabales; Fabaceae.
UACAAAGGAUGUACAAAGGGUUUACACAAGAUGUACAAAGGGUUUACAAAAGGUGUACAAGGAUGUAAAUAGAUGUAGAAAAUGUGUACAAAGGGUCUACACAAAGAGUGUAGAAAUGAUGUACAAACGGUGUACCAAUGAUGUACAAAGGGUGUGUAAAGGGUGUACAAAGGAUGUUCGAAGGUUAUACAAAGGGUGUAGAAAUGGUGUAUGAAGGGUAUACAAAUAUGUAGAAAGAUGUAGAAAGGGUGUAGAAAGAGUGUACAAAGGGUGUACUAAGAGUGUACAAAAGGUUGUGUAAAAGGUAUACAAACAGUUUACAAAGGGUUAGUAAUGGUUGUACAAAUGGUGUAUAACGGUGUACAAUGGGUGUAGGGCCCCACUCAUGAUAUGCAUAAAGUGUGUGUGUGAAGGGAGAACGCCAUGCAUACCCAAACCCUCACCUGCAAAACAACCAGAAAAAUUCCUAGGCAGAUAUAAACAUGUUUUCUACCCUAGGGUUCAAUAUCCAACAAUUCACAUGCAGUUAUUUCAAAAACCAAAUCAUAGAUAAAGAAAUGGGGAAGAAAAACACAAAGCAAAACCACAUUGAAUUCGCACAUUUAAUUAAAUGGCCUGACUCUCUAUCUCCCCAGUGGAGUCGCCAUCUGUCGCAACCGAAAAAUCGCGACGGGACGACGACCCAAAGAGAAAAAUAGUUAAGAAAAGUUUUUGGAAAAAGAGAUUUGGAGUCGCCACCAUAGUUUAUUCUGGAAAACUAUGGAAAAAACCAUAAAAGAUAAGGCACAGUCCACGAAAACCAAAGAUUGGGUUCGGGAGUCGGUUACGUGUGGGGAAGGUGUCAGCACCCCCACAACGCCUGCCCUAAGGCAGUACCUUUAACUAAAUACGCG